AUACGGAGGGUGCAAGCGUUAUUCGGAAUCACUGGGCGUAAAGGACGCGUAGGCGGGUUGGCAAGUCAGAUGUGAAAUCCUACAGCUUAACUGUAGAACUGCAUUUGAAACUGCUAACCUAGAGUAUGGGAGGGGGAGAUGGAAUUAGUGGUGUAGGGGUAAAAUCCGUAGAUAUCACUAGGAAUACCGAAAGCGAAGGCGAUCUCCUGGAACAUAACUGACGCUAAGGCGUGAAAGCGUGGGGAGCAAACAGGAGUAGAAACCCCGGUAGUCC
Molecule: ribosomal RNA, 274 nt
Filed under: uncultured bacterium
Lineage: Bacteria
Description: partial 16S ribosomal RNA
Rfam family: Bacterial small subunit ribosomal RNA
Source: RNAcentral